GAGGGCGUGAGCGCGGAGGGGGCGGAGCGGAGAGAGAGAGGGCGCGGAGGGUCGGGGCGGCGGCAGCAGAAGAGCGGGUCGGCCGGCGGCGGCGUGCUACGUCGCGGGUCUAGGUGCCGCCCUAGCUGCGCCGCAGCAACUGGACUCGGUGAUGGCAGCAGCUCCAGGAGGGUGGGGGAGAGCGGCAGCGCGGAAGGGGAGGAGGAGCAGGAGAGCGACGAGUCGUCCUCCUCGUGCCGAGCGGCGGCCAAGAGUGUGCGGCGAAGGGAGGAGGCGGGGAGGGAGCUCGGCGAGGAGUGGGUGGGUGGUGCCAGUGGAGAGGAGGCUGGUGCGGCGGCACGACGCGCUGCGGCUCACCCGCGGGCGGGAGGGGCAGGGCGCUGCCGGCUCUAGGUCAAGCAGCGGUAGCCGGACUCUUCGCGAACCCGGCGACGAGGGGUAGCUCGGACGCACACGCUGCGUAGACUACCGGUUGUGUCGGCACAUGUUGAGACGACGGAGGUCGAGCUCGCGGGUAGAGGUGAUACAGGUCCAACGGCGACAGCGCCUCAACCUACUCCAGUACCGAAUCAACUGCUCCAGUUGUUGAUUAUCUCCCGUUUCAAUUCGUUUAACAACCGAGAUGAGAGGCCCUACGUAGCUUACUACCGUGCUGUGCCCACUGUUUUCAGAGGUAGUCUUAAACGUUUAUAAAUGUUUCUACCUGACCAACCACCCGUACAGUAUUACGAACCGCCUCUGGGACGUUCGACGAUACGACGGGACCUUCGUGAGGAGAAGGACGGAGUGGUGGACAAGUCCUUGGCAUAGUAUUCACCGCGGAAGAAGGUGCUUGUCAACGCCACGAGCGACAGCCGCAGUCUGAGGGUUCGUUCACUCCUACUGGUGCUGCGUCUCCUCCUGCUCCUGGGCUCGAGCUAAGGCUGGUGCUGCGUGGCGUGUUCUAGGGACGAAGGAAGGACUGCCGUUACCUAGGGAAGGAACGUCAACGGACCCAACGACUGCUCUAGGUAGACGGGCCGACCUCGGACAAUAAGAGAACUACCUUCAGUCGGGUUAACAUCAAGUCUGCCACGGCACGGCAACCCCAACGGAACGGUCAGCUGGCCUCUACCUCGAAUAGCAAACUCGGAGACGGGAGGGGCAGCUCCAACGAGGAGUGGUAGCGUCCGUGCCAGACCAGCCCCGGUGCUGCUGCUCUCCUCGUCGUCUCCUAUUGAAAAGGGGUGCCUAGGAAGAGCAGAAGGUGCACUAAGCUCAGCGGAGAGAGGCAGUCUAGGACGUGCCUGGAGGGACAGUCCGGGGAGAACGGCGGGCAGCUGUGCAGGAAGCUAGAACAACACAACUAGUACCCCUGGUAAGGUAAACUUCUCCGAGUACGACGGGCCUAAAGUAAUUCGUUCGGUAGAUACAGGGUUUCAACUCCUGGCAAACCUCUUCUCCGGUGGGUCCAUUCGAAUAGGUUCGAGUUUGUAAUUAAAUUAGUGAUAAAUCAACGGCAUGAACGCAAGGAUCUACCUAGAAAACUCUAAGGUGUUGAAACUUUAAGAAUGAACCCUAGUAAACUAUACACGGGAACUUUUAUUGUCUUGCCUAGUAAGGAUCUACUUAAGAAUCGACUAAAGUGACCCGAAGAGGGAAAUGCGAUUAUACUUUAUAUAAUCGACGUCAUAUAUCAGAUCCAAGUAAAAUUACGCUGAUUUACUCUAUUUUUAUGAUGGACGAAUAUGGUGAGCUCAUAGGUGGCAAUCCUGCAAUACAAGGGACGUUUGUGUUGUAUUGGAAAAACUGAAUAAUAGGGAUUUUUUUCGACUGAGAAAAAGUGUUCGACUUUUCUGUUAGACUAGACGGUGUAAACCAGACUUUAAAAGAAGAACACACAGGUGUACUAUUUCUCCUACGGAAACUAGUUAACAUUUAGUGAAUAAAAAGAUCCUAUAUAUCUAAAGAACUUAAUGGGUGUUAUAUGAAAAUACAGUAGAUUAUAUACAGAGGGUCUGUUAAAUUUGUCUACGUCCUAUACUAAUCCGCGUGUAUAUGUUCAUAGAAAUACUGCUGUGCACGUGGUCAAAAGUAACAAUAACAAGAACGGACAACGGAGGGGGGGGAUAGCGAAGCGAUCCACUCUCUGGGGAGAGGAAAGGACAAUCUUUUAUGGUUCAUAAACGUUACGAACUAACAAUACGGUUGAAAAGAAUCUUGGAACCACGUACCCGGUAUGUCGCUAGAGGUAUGAUGUUAAAUCUUAAUAUUCUUUAACGUAGGAGAUAAAUAAAUCCUUAGAUCCAAACAUAAAAAGACUAAACCAAAAACGAAAGACCAGUAAACCAUGGCACGCGGUACUACAUGAAGGACAGAUAGUACGAACCCAAACAUCCAUGGCAAGUAACUAGGGACUUGAAAACUGGUUAAAUACAAGCACUGUAGAACGCACAUAAGGGAAAGAGUACUAAACACUAAGAGUUAAGACGGUCGAAACACCUCUGUACCUUGGCUUCAGUACUCCACCUGUAAUAGUAAAACAAUCUGACCCACACCUUAACGUUCAAUGAGGUAACCGUUGGUGUAUGUCUGGGCGUGGUUGAUAGGUACGAGAUUCAGUCAGACAAUCCCCUUUUAGUUUCCGUACACCCGUGGACUAGAUAAACAUUGUAGCUGUACACUACACACGUUGAUUUUUUUACAAUCCGAUACUAUCGUUAAGAAAAGUUGUGUACAAGAGUAUGUAAGACCUAUAUGAAGGACGAUUUUACUGUAUAUAUAAAAGAAAAUGUACAGCGGAAAUAUGGAAAAGUAGGGGACCUGGACAC
This 2810-nucleotide ribosomal RNA is filed under the name Triticum aestivum (bread wheat). Its description in RNAcentral is "partial small subunit ribosomal RNA". The record is from RNAcentral. Lineage: Eukaryota; Viridiplantae; Streptophyta; Magnoliopsida; Poales; Poaceae.